UUGGUUUUGAGAAGUGAAAGGAAGGAGGUGAAUUGGUAAAGAAAAAAUGGCAUGUAUGUCACUCAAUAUAGGAGCUGCUUCUGCUUUGAAGUUUGUAAGCAAUUCCCAAAAUCAUCCAGUAAAGCUGUUCUCGGCUAAAGAACAACGUUGUUCCAACUUCAGUUCCAGCAAUUGGGGUUGUUUCAGUCUUCGAGUUCGUCGGAGUUCUUGCCUUCGUUUUGAUACACAAAAAUCUUUCGCCGUUUUCAACAGCCUUCCAGUGGAUAAUAGCAACCCCAAGGAAAGUGUGGUUGUCUUGGUAAUUGGA
RNAcentral lists this unclassified non-coding RNA (307 nucleotides) under Hevea brasiliensis (rubber tree). The record is from RNAcentral. Lineage: Eukaryota; Viridiplantae; Streptophyta; Magnoliopsida; Malpighiales; Euphorbiaceae.